GUAUUCCUACAGGCAGCAGUAGGGAAUAUUGCUCAAUGGGGGAAACCCUGAAGCAGCAACGCCGCGUGGAGGAUGAAGGUUUUCGGAUUGUAAACUCCUUUUGUUAGAGAAGAUAAUGACGGUAUCUAACGAAUAAGCACCGGCUAACUCCGUGCCAGCAGCCGCGGUAAUACGGAGGGUGCAAGCGUUACUCGGAAUCACUGGGCGUAAAGAGCGCGUAGGCGGGAUAGCAAGUCAGAUGUGAAAUCCUAUGGCUUAACCAUAGAACUGCAUUUGAAACCGUUAUUCUAGAGUAUGGGAGAGGU
RNAcentral lists this ribosomal RNA (305 nucleotides) under uncultured bacterium. RNAcentral's name for it is "bacterial SSU rRNA". It matches the Rfam family "Bacterial small subunit ribosomal RNA", at positions 333 to 658 of the family's 1533-position model. The record is from RNAcentral.